This 66-nucleotide transfer RNA is filed under the name Tegillarca granosa. RNAcentral's name for it is "tRNA-Ser". Lineage: Eukaryota; Metazoa; Mollusca; Bivalvia; Arcoida; Arcidae. The record is from RNAcentral.
GAGGAAGGCUGAAUGGCGCAGUCGAGCUUCUAACUUGAUUGAGGGUGGGAGUACAUCCAUUCCUCU